GCCAGGAAGCAUGGAAAGAACUUUCAUCUCAGUCCUGAAGGGUCCCCCUGGAAAUCAAAUCGAGCUUGACCUCUGAGUAAGAGAUGUGACCAGCACAAGAGAACAAGGCCAAGUUGACAACACAGAAGGAGGUGAUCCCAGCAUGAAGAAGUUAGGGUAUCCUCUUAUUCUUCCCCGAGAAGAAUUCCAUCCCCUGCCCUGGGAAAGGAAACCAGAACAGCUGAUGCCCUGUUUUUCCUUGCCAUACUGUCGGGAGAAGAGCAAAGCAAUGAGCUCAAAUACUAGAAGACAACAGCAUCACAUGCUACUCUUCCAUAUGGACUUAAAGAGAAAAUAAGAAAGGAUAGAAUCUCCUUCCUUGUUAGCCGGACCUUCUGUAGUCAAGCAGGUCCUUUGGGAGAAAACUAGGCUGAAAAACACAGUGACAUCUGAUGGUUUGUUGACCUGAUUCACCCGUCCCAUUUGGAUAACGCCUGUGGUGGCUGACAGCUGAAAAAAGUCUCCACAAAGAAUCUUGUCCUGAAGUCUCAACUGAGCACUUUCUGGAAACAGCUUGACGUUUCUAAUGUGAAAAAAAUAAUAACUCUGUCGCCUGGUGCUUGGAAAUGUAUAGGCCGGAAGUGAGGAGCAGAAGACGACGAGUAUCUUCACAGUCCCGACAGAGUGGACUUCCGGGGACUUCAGACCACUCACAGAGUGUGGGUGCCAACACUUCAGCAAAUUAAGCCAUCGCAGCAAAGGGAAGGCAAGCUCUGAAUCAUGGAUGAAGGUCUAUUUGGAUCUCCUUGCCCUCUGAGGCAGCCCAUUUCCCAGCAGGGGGAAUGGCACAGUGCAUGAUCAUUCCCCGCCCCGCCCCCCUCCUCCUCCACCUCCUCCAUGUCAUCAUUGUCAGCGCUGAUCUCAGAAUAAUCUCCCAGGAGCCAACAUGUACUUGUAGCCCUUGUCCCCAGGGGUCCAAAUGACUAAACUUCCAUUAUAGCUCCAGAAGCAUACAUAAUCUUUACUACACAAAAGGGCAUACCAUUAAAGUCCUCUGCCGCUAGGGAAUUGAUUAGUGUGCCACCCAUCCCACCUCCAAUGUGACUUUCUUCAGACGGUCAUGAGAACGCGUCCACGUCAGGACUCCCGAACUCCAAUCUGAGUCUUGUAAUACUCUUACCAAUUAGCAUAUGGAGUCCUCCCUCUUGGUUACAAUUUUGAAAUUGCUGGCUAGACUCCUACGGCCACACAUAAAUUGGCUUAGUUCUGGAGGCUAUUUCACAUGUGGGGUUGGCUUUUAUUUGUUUGGAUUAAACCAUUAGAUUUUU
Molecule: long non-coding RNA, 1307 nt
Organism: Leopardus geoffroyi (Geoffroy's cat)
Lineage: Eukaryota; Metazoa; Chordata; Mammalia; Carnivora; Felidae
Exons: 5
Source: RefSeq, a predicted model, not a curated record